CAAAAGAGCAACAAAGUCAGAGAUAGAGGUAGAGAGAGAUUAGAAAUGAGGCCUGCAAGCAACUCCACAACAGGUGGUGCUGGUGCUGGAUUCUGGCACUUCCAUGCCUUACCUCUUUGGGGGGCUAGCACUCAUGUUGGGAAUCAUCACUUUUGCUUUGAUAAUCCUUGCCUGCUCCUGCAGGAAUUCUUCCAAUUCAGCGACACAGGUUCCUGAACAGAAAUCAGUCAAGCAAGU
Molecule: unclassified non-coding RNA, 237 nt
Filed under: Hevea brasiliensis (rubber tree)
Lineage: Eukaryota; Viridiplantae; Streptophyta; Magnoliopsida; Malpighiales; Euphorbiaceae
Source: RNAcentral